CCAACAUUUUAUUGUUUUAUAAUGAGAAAUUGUAUGAGCGUUCAACAUUUAUAUCUCACGAUACAACGACGAAAUGAAAUGUUUUCAAAUUUUCAACAAACAGAAUCAAUAAAACAUAGUUUCAUUUUCAAAUACUUCCAAAAUGUUGACUUGGAUAUUCAAUAUCAAUUUGUGAUUCACCCAUUGAUUACGAAACAUUUAUCUCGUCACUACUACCAAAAGCGGCCUUCACAAGGAGUAUUGACAAUACUAUUGAUCGUGUUUGCAUUGUCCUGUCUCUGGAUGUGAUAAACUUAUCAAUGGAUAUGUGAACGUGCUCAAGAGCCACGUAAAAUUAAAGAAGUUUCGGAUGAUUACAUAAGAGGAUGUCUUCGUAUAAUGAUUAAAUUAACUCGCAAGGGCAUAAAGCAUAAGGAAACAAUGGAGCCGAAUAUUGGUAUAGAUACUGAACUAGCAGCUCCAUUAAUUAGAUGGAUUUCUGACUUACGAAAAUUUUUUUGUAUAUCUAUCUCCUUGUGUCAUUAUUCCCUGUGGAAAGGAAUCAAUUAACGCUAUUGAUACAUUCUUUAGAUCGUUCGUAGUGUUUAAUUUGCGAAUUCCGGUAAAUUUAUUAAAAAUUGCAGAUUUCCUGGACGUGUUUGCCUACAAAAUUAAAUCAUACAGUAAUCGUUCGACCGUUCAGAAUUUGUGUUCUUUAUUCAUUGAAAGCGAAAAUGCAGAAAAAUUAUUGUAACGUGCAGGUUUCGUAAAUUUGACACUAAUAAAUGGUUUAAAAUUACCCACUGGUUGCAAA
Malaya genurostris is the source of this 793-nucleotide long non-coding RNA. RefSeq lists it as uncharacterized. Lineage: Eukaryota; Metazoa; Arthropoda; Insecta; Diptera; Culicidae. The record is from RefSeq and is a predicted model, not a curated record. The transcript is spliced from 4 exons.